CGGGAUAACACCUGGAAACAGAUGCUAAUACCGGAUAACAACAGAUGAUGCCUAUCAACUGUUUAAAAGAUGGUUCUGCUAUCACUCUUGGAUGGACCUGCGGUGCAUUAGCUAGUUGGUAGGGUAACGGCCUACCAAGGCGAUGAUGCAUAGCCGAGUUGAGAGACUGAUCGGCCACAUUGGGACUGAGACACGGCCCAAACUCCUACGGGAGGCAGCAGAG
Molecule: ribosomal RNA, 223 nt
Filed under: uncultured Lactobacillus sp.
Lineage: Bacteria; Bacillati; Bacillota; Bacilli; Lactobacillales; Lactobacillaceae
Description: partial 16S ribosomal RNA
Rfam family: Bacterial small subunit ribosomal RNA
Source: RNAcentral